RNAcentral lists this long non-coding RNA (1762 nucleotides) under Centruroides sculpturatus (bark scorpion). Its description in RNAcentral is "uncharacterized LOC111625935, transcript variant X2". Lineage: Eukaryota; Metazoa; Arthropoda; Arachnida; Scorpiones; Buthidae. The record is from RNAcentral.
GAUUUCUUGUGUUUUGUAGUAGCGUUAAACGCGGCGCGGCGUAGACGGCAAUGGUAGUGUUUCGUGUAUUGUUAGAAUUAGUAUUUGGUAAAAUGCGCGUCGCGUAGAGUCAAACGCGACGCGUCGCUUCGUUUCUGGUGUGGGACACGUUUCGCAUAAUGCACGAGCUCGACGCGGCGGAACACCCGUUCCACGUUACGCCACAGCGUGACGUCUUUGACGAUCGGGUCGAUUUAUUUUCCGAGACGUUGAUCGCAUCACAGGUGUGGAUGACGGGGGGAGAGGGAAGGUGUACCGGAAGCGGGUCGCGGUGCGUGAGAUCCGAGUGACGGGUGUCACUCGCCUAUUGGACGGAACGCUACGUAACGCGAACGUUUCCGGGACGUUCGUAGCACACACAUCGGGGAUUUAGAAAAGGGGAAACACGCGACCUUAGCGAGUGUCGUCCAUUUAUUUCUCUCGCCAUUGUUUUUAGGACGUAACCAACCGACUGAGACAAUACUAUCAGUAAAAAUGGCACCCGAGACACUACACCUCCACCCCUGCCGAGUGCCGAUCGAAAACGAGGUUUCGACGAGGUAGAUCUAGUCGACCUCAUCUCCUACCAGACAGAGAUCAACAGGUUGGCUGAUGAAGUAAGACGUCUUCGUAACGAAGGAGACACUUGCAUACGGCUCGUCCACCCCUCUCACAAACAGGUUGUGACGGAACAGGAACUGCAACAGGAACAUCGGAAUCAGUCGACGAGGCAUCGAACGACAGCACGAAAUUCGAAGUACUGCGGAUAGACAGAAGGGGUUAUGGGGAAGUGAAGAGAGCCUGUCCAGAGCUAGAAAAGUGAAGAUUUUAAAAGAAAAUUUCAGCACGUUGAUAUGCUGAGUUGGAAAUGGAGCAUGAAAACAAAGUACAGAAAGCCUUGAGGAUGAGAACGUGACAGACAGAUACGGAAGAGAAAUCGAAAAUGGCCGACUUGGCAGCAGAUAAGCAAGUGUGAGUAUAUUACGGUUUAUAGAUAAUGUUACGGAUAUACUCGACAUUGCAAAAAGGGUAAGGGAGAAAAUGACGACCGAAACACUGCAAUUUUGUAAUUAAAAACGUUUCUUUCCAAGGAGCAACAGUUAAGAAUGUAAAGAAGGUGUGGAUGCUGCUAGUCUCCAUCAACUACACACUAAAGAAGUAUCGAAGAUCUCUACGCUUCAAGAAUCCGUCAAAGAAAUUAGGAAUGGAAAGAAUGGUGGACAGGAAACAUGAAAAGUCUGGUGUAGUAUCCUUUGCAGCACUCAGGAGUCAGAAAUUGGAUGUGAUUCUUCCUCUCCAUUAAGUAUUGGAUUUCAUUCAUGGAAUGGCAAAAAGGAUGUCACUGCAAGGAGAGAGAACAGUAAGAAAUCAAAGGCAAAGGAUGGAUAUUAUCUAUGUAAAAAACAACUCAAAGCACAGUGCCAGAAAGCCAAUCAAGUAGAGAAACAAAUGAGCCCCAAGAAGCCUCAAUUCAACCUUUUCCAGCCAGUAAACUGAAGUGUCACAGGCUUCAAAGAUCAACCAUUCGCCUCUCCAAUGACUUGGACAAAUCUCCAGCAUUGGUCAUUCAUACUAUUCUCUCUUCUCUGCCCACCUUCACCCCAAUUCUGAUGACGGAUGUCGGUGUUUCCAACAUAUCCUGAGGGAUACACUGGUAAUGUGCUGUGAGCCUUCUAAGAAAUUGUUAGAGGAAAUAUUUAUGUAUCUAUAAUUUACUAAUAAAAAUUAUAAUUUUUAUACUGUU